UGGGGAAUAUUGCACAAUGGGCGAAAGCCUGAUGCAGCGACGCCGCGUGAGGGAUGACGGCCUUCGGGUUGUAAACCUCUUUCAGUAGGGACGAAGCGCAAGUGACGGUACCUGCAGAAGAAGCACCGGCUAACUACGUGCCAGCAGCCGCGGUAAUACGUAGGGUGCGAGCGUUGUCCGGAAUUACUGGGCGUAAAGAGCUCGUAGGCGGUUUGUCACGUCGUCUGUGAAAUCCUAGGGCUUAACCCUGGACGUGCAGGCGAUACGGGCUGACUUGAGUACUACAGGGGAGACUGGAAUUUCUGGUGUAGCGGUGGAAUGCACAGAUAUCAGGAAGAAUACCGAUGGCGAAGGCAGGUCUCUGGGUAGUAACUGACGCUGAGGAGCGAAAGCAUGGGUAGCGAACAGG
RNAcentral lists this ribosomal RNA (409 nucleotides) under bacterium. Its description in RNAcentral is "partial 16S ribosomal RNA". It matches the Rfam family "Bacterial small subunit ribosomal RNA", at positions 355 to 776 of the family's 1533-position model. The record is from RNAcentral.